GCCAGCAGCCGCGGUAAUACGUAGGUGGCAAGCGUUGUCCGGAAUUAUUGGGCGUAAAGCGCGCGCAGGCGGUCUUUUAAGUCUGAUGUGAAAGCCCCCGGCUCAACCGGGGAGGGUCAUUGGAAACUGGGAGACUUGAGUGCAGAAGAGGAGAGUGGAAUUCCACGUGUAGCGGUGAAAUGCGUAGAGAUGUGGAGGAACACCAGUGGCGAAGGCGACUCUCUGGUCUGUAACUGACGCUGAGGCGCGAAAGCGUGGGGAGCGAACAGGAUUAGAUACCCUGGUAGUCCACGCCGUAAACGAUGAGUGCUAAGUGUUAGAGGGUUUCCGCCCUUUAGUGCUGCAGCAAACGCAUUAAGCACUCCGCCUGGGGAGUACGGCCGCAAGGCUGAAACUCAAAAGAAUUGACGGGGACCCGCACAAGCGGUGGAGCAUGUGGUUUAAUUCGAAGCAACGCGAAGAACCUUACCAGGUCUUGACAUCCCACUGCCCGUUAUGGAGACAUAACUUUCCCUUCGGGGACAGUGGUGACAGGUGGUGCAUGGUUGUCGUCAGCUCGUGUCGUGAGAUGUUGGGUUAAGUCCCGUAACGAGCGCAACCCUUAAUCUUAGUUGCCAGCAUUCAGUUGGGCACUCUAAGGUGACUGCCGGUGACAAAUCGGAGGAAGGUGGGGAUGACGUCAAAUCAUCAUGCCCCUUAUGACCUGGCUACACACGUGCUACAAUGGGAUGGGAACAAGGGAGCGAAGCCGCGAGGUGUAGCAAAUCCCAUAAAACCAUUCUCAGUUCGGAUUGCAGGCUGCAACUCCGCCCUGCAU
This 817-nucleotide ribosomal RNA is filed under the name uncultured Bacillus sp. RNAcentral's name for it is "bacterial SSU rRNA". It matches the Rfam family "Bacterial small subunit ribosomal RNA", at positions 507 to 1321 of the family's 1533-position model. The record is from RNAcentral. Lineage: Bacteria; Bacillati; Bacillota; Bacilli; Caryophanales; Bacillaceae.